GAUGAACGCUGGCGGCGUGCCUAAUACAUGCAAGUCGAGCGAACGGACGAGAAGCUUGCUUUUCUGAUGUUAGCGGCGGACGGGUGAGUAACACGUGGAUAACCUACCUAUAAGACUGGGAUAACUUCGGGAAACCGGAGCUAAUACCGGAUAAUAUUUUGAACCGCAUGGUUCAAAAGUGAAAGACGGUCUUGCUGUCACUUAUAGAUGGAUCCGCGCUGCAUUAGCUAGUUGGUAAGGUAACGGCUUACCAAGGCAACGAUGCAUAGCCGACCUGAGAGGGUGAUCGGCCACACUGGAACUGAGACACGGUCCAGGCUCCUACGGGAGGCAGCAGUAGGGAAUCUUCCGCAAUGGGCGAAAGCCUGACGGAGCAACGCCGCGUGAGUGAUGAAGGUCUUCGGAUCGUAAAACUCUGUUAUUAGGGAAGAACAUAUGUGUAAGUAACUGUGCACAUCUCGACGGUACCUAAUCAGAAAGCCACGGCUAACUACGUG
Molecule: ribosomal RNA, 497 nt
Filed under: uncultured bacterium
Lineage: Bacteria
Description: partial 16S ribosomal RNA
Rfam family: Bacterial small subunit ribosomal RNA
Source: RNAcentral